RNAcentral lists this ribosomal RNA (1422 nucleotides) under metagenome. RNAcentral's name for it is "bacterial SSU rRNA". It matches the Rfam family "Archaeal small subunit ribosomal RNA". The record is from RNAcentral.
UUGAUCCUGCGGAAGGUUGCUGCUAUCUGGGUUCGAUUAAGCCAUGCAAGUUUUCUCGUAAGAGAGGCAAACUGCUCAGUAACACGUCAAUAAUUUGCCCUUAGGUCUGGAAUAACCUUGGGAAACUGAGGCUAAUGCCGGAUAGGAUAAUUAUACUGGAAUGUAUUUAAUCCCAAAAGCAAUGCCUAAGGAUAAGUUGGCGGCGGAUUAGGUUGUUGGUGAGGUAAAGGCUCACCAAGCCGAAGAUCCGUAGGGGCCUUGAGAGAGGAAGCCUCGAGAAGGACACUGAGAUACUGGUCCUAGCCCUACGGGGUGCAGCAGGCGCGAAACCUUUACAAUGCACGCAAGUGUGAUAAGGGAACCCAGAGUGCUUUGCUUUUAGUAAGGCUUUUGCCAAGAGUAAAAAUCUUGGCGAAUAAAUGGUGGGCAAGACUGGUGCCAGCAGCCGCGGUAACACCAGCGCCAUGAGUGGCAAUCAUAAUUAUUGGGCCUAAAGCGCCCGUAGCCGGUCUGAGCAGUCUUUUGUGAAUCGUUGUGCUUAACAUAACGGUGUGCAAGAGAUACCAUCAGACUAGGAACCGGAGAAGAGUCGGAGGUAUUCUGGGGGGAGCGGUAAAAUGCUAUAAUCCCCGGAGGACCACCUGUGGCGAAAGCGUCCGACUAGAACGGCUUCGACGGUGAGGGACGAAAGCCAGGGGAGCGAACCGGAUUAGAUACCCGAGUAGUCCUGGCCAUAAACACUGUGAGCUAGGUGUCGCACAUUCUUCGCGAAUGUGCGGUGUCGAAAUGAAGAUGUUAAGCUCACCGCCUGGGAAGUAUGGUCGCAAGGCUGAAACUUAAAGGAAUUGGCGGGGAGCACCACCAGGGGUGCGGCGUGCGGUUUAAUCUAAUUCAACGCAGAGCAUCUCACCAGAAGCGACGGCAGGAUGAAGGUCAGUCUAAAGGGCUUACCUGACGAGCCGAGAGGUAGUGCAUGGCCGUCGUCAGCUCGUGCCGUAAGGUGUCCUGUUAAGUCAGGCAACGAGCGAGACCUGUAUCCACAAUUGCUAACAACUCUUUUUAGAGCAUUGAGCACAUUGUGGGAACUGCCCUCGAAAGGGGGAGGAAGGUGCAGGCUACGGUAGGUCUGUACGCUCCGAAUCUUCUGGGCUACACGCGCGCAACAAUGGUAAGGACAAUGUGAUACGACUCCGAAAGGAGAAGUUAAUCCUCUAAACCUUACCCUAGUACAGAUUGAGGGCUGUAACUCGCCCACAUGACGAUGGGAUCCCUAGUAAUCAGACGUCAUCAUCGUCUGGUGAAUAUGUCCCUGCUCCUUGCACACACCGCCCGUCAAACCAUCCGAGCAGGGUUUAGGUAAGACUUGGCUUUUAGUCAAGCCGAAUCUAAACUCAGUGAGGCGGGUUAAGUCGUCACAAGGUA